AACUAAAAUAACUAUGUAGAUAGUGAAGAACUAACCUUAUUACCACCAAAUAACUCACCCUUUCCAAAAAUUUGAAUGCAAGCAUUAAUUUGCUCUCCUUCACUUCAAAACCACCUUGUCUAUUUGAUGAUUUAAGCUCUUAAGCUCAUAAAUUUGUAAAGAAAUGAAGUCUUUCACUUGAUAGUGGAGAAAAUUGAGAGAAAAUGCCUAGAGAGUGUAGAAGCUGCAUGAAUAAAGCCAACACUAUCUUUGCCCUAAAAAGAGAAAAAAAAAAAAAAAA
RNAcentral lists this unclassified non-coding RNA (280 nucleotides) under Hevea brasiliensis (rubber tree). The record is from RNAcentral. Lineage: Eukaryota; Viridiplantae; Streptophyta; Magnoliopsida; Malpighiales; Euphorbiaceae.